This is a long non-coding RNA of Oncorhynchus tshawytscha (Chinook salmon), 5206 nucleotides long. NCBI's taxonomy places the organism in Eukaryota, Metazoa, Chordata, Actinopteri, Salmoniformes, Salmonidae. The record is from Ensembl.
GCCCGUUGGUUCCUUCAGGAUCCCCAGUCAGGACUAUACAGCUGUGUCUGAUCCCGUUGGUUCCUUUUAAGGAUCCCCAGUCAGGACUACACAGCUGUGUGAUCCUGUUGGUUCCUUCAGGAUCCCCAGUCAGGACUAUACAGCUGUCUGAUCCCGUUGGUUCCUUCAGGAUCCCCAGUCAGGACUACACAGCUUUUUAUUUCUGCCGUCUUUUAUAUUAUUAUAUAGCAACGAUUUAAUAAUCAGAAAAACGCUGGACGAAUCUUCAUAGAAAUGUCUUUAAUAUAUGAUUUACUCCUUUUGUUUUUAGAUUUUUUAUUAAAUCAUUUGAGGUUUGUUUUGUUCACCUGUAAGCUUCAAAUUGACUGCACUGUACUCUCAUUACCCUGGCUGACUUGUGAAUCCACAAAUUGCACCCUAUUCCCUAAUGUAGUGCACUACUAUUAACCAGAGGCCUUACUAACCAGUAGUAGUGCACUAUAAAAGGAAUAGCUUAAGGGACCAUUUGGGAGCCUGCUGGUGUGCUGCAUAACUAGAUGAUGUUCUCUCUGUGGUAGUAAUGCUAACGAUGAUAGGCUAGGGAUCAGUGGUAGUAAUGCUAUAAUGCUAAUGAUAGGCUAGGGAUCAGUGGUAGUAAUGCUAUAAUGCUAAUGAUAGGCUAGGGAUCAGUGGUAGUAAUGCUAUAAUGCUAAUGGUGAUAGGCUAGGGAUCAGUGGUAGUAAUGCUAUAAUGCCAAUGGUGAUAGGCUAGGGAUCAGUACUAGUAAUGCUAAUGAUGAUAGGCUAGGGAACAGUGGUAGUAAUGCUAAUGAUUAUAGGCUAGGGAUCAGUGGUAGUAAUGCUAAUGAUGAUAGGCUGGGGAACAGUGGUAGUAAUGCUAAUGAUGAUAGGCUAGGGAACAGUGGUAGUAAUGCUAAUGAUGAUAGGCUAGGGAACAGUGGUAGUAAUGCUAAUGGUGAUAGGCUAGGGAACAGUGGUAGUAAUGCUAAUGGUGAUAGGCUAGGGAACAGUGGUAGUAAUGCUAAUGAUAGGCAAGGGAAAAGUCGUAGUAAUGCUAUAAUGCUAAUGAUGAUAGGCUAGUGUUGCAAAAUUCCUGAAACGUUCCCUACAUUUCCAAGGUUUUUUAUUAAUCAUGUUUCAAGGAAUUUCUGAUAUCAGGAAGGAUUAACUAGGGAAGGCAUCCUCCUACUGAGAUUUAUGAGGAAUUUCAGAGUUCUGAAAAGCUUGUAGCUCAAUAACCAGUAUCUGAGCUGUGAAGCACUUUCUGUUGUGUUGCUAGAUUGACCAGGUUGUUGUCAUGGGGAUGGAUGGUGGCAGAACGUGUUGUUGCCACUACUCGUGAUGCUAGCAUGGUCUAGUCCUGAGUCCUGAGUCCCAGCUCUGUUUGUGCUGUCUUGCCAACUCUAUGUGAUUUAUAGGAGUCGCUAAGACAGCACAAACGGAUGUGGGACCAGGCUAAGCAUGGUUCACCUUGGUGUCAAGGGUCAACUAAUCAAGUCAAGUAAUGGCACAUACAUAACCACUGUCUGGAGAGACCUGCAGAGACCUACAGCUAGACUCCCUAACACAGUGUCUGUUCAGACUGAUUCAUUAGAGCUAGACUCACUAACACAGUGUCUGUUCAGACUAAUGCUUUGAGUACUGAGUAGUGACUUGUUUCAGUGCCUAAUGCCUUGAGUACUGAGUAAUGACUUGUUUCAGUGCCUAAUGCCUUGAGUACUGAGUAGUGACUUGUUUCAGUGCCUAAUGCCUUGAGUACUGAGUAUUGACUUGUUUCAGUGCCUUUAUUGUAGAAUGACUUGUUGGUUGGUCUGUAGAUAGUUUUCAGAUGCCACCUCCCCUUCUCUUGAAGCCCAGCUCACCUAUCUCUGAGUUGGUGGACAGGACAGGUUCCUACCCUUAAAAAUGUACGUGUGAUCAGGGUGGUUGGCAGGUAGCCAAGGAGCGCUACAGUUCACUCCAAGCAACUCGUAUCAAGCAGAUCACACAAUUUACCACGGCCAACAGCAGGCCUGGUCUACAGGGUAAUAGUAGUGUGGGUAGGAGCCACUGUCUGGAGUCAGAUCAGAUUAACUUCAUUAAUAACCCACUGUCUGGAGUCAGACCAGAUUAACAUCAUUAAUAACCCACUGUCUGGAGUCAGACCAGAUUAACAUCAUCAAUAACCCACUGUCUGGAGUUCAUUAAUAACCCACUGUCUGGAGUCAAACCAGAUUAACAUCAUCAAUAACCCACUGUCUGGAGUUCAUUAAUAACCCACUGUCUGGAGUCAGACCAGAUUAACUUCAUUAAUAACCCACUGUCUGGAGUCAAACCAGAUUAACUUAAUUAAUAACCCACUGUCUGGAGUUCAUUAAUAACCCACUGUCUGGAGUCAAACCAGAUUAACAUCAUUAAUAACCCACUGUCUGGAGUCAGACCAGAUUAACUUCAUUAAUAACCCACUGUUUGGAGUUCAUUAAUAACCCACUGUCUGGAGUCAAACCAGAUUAACUUCAUUAAUAACCCACUGUCUGGAGUCAGACCAGAUUAACUUCAUUAAUAACCCACUGUCUGGAGUCAAACCAGAUUAACUUAAUUAAUAACCCACUGUCUGGAGUUCAUGAAUACCCACUGUCUGGAGUCAAACCAGAUUAACAUCAUUAAUAACCCACUGUCUGGAGUCAAACCAGAUUAACAUCAUUAAUAACCCACUGUCUGGAGUCAGACCAGAUUAACAUCAUUAAUAACCCACUGUCUGGAGUCAGACCAGAUUAACUUCAUUAAUAACCCACUGUCUGGAGUCAGACCAGAUUUACUUCAUUAAUAACCCACUGUCUGGAGUUAGACCAGAUUAACAUCAUUAAUAACCCACUGUCUGGAGUUAGACCAGAUUAACAUCAUUAAUAACCCACUGUCUGGAGUCAGACCAGAUUAACAUCAUUCAUAACCCACUGUCUGGAGUCAGACCAGAUUUACUUCAUUAAUAACCCACUGUCUGGAGUUAGACCAGAUUAACAUCAUUAAUAACCCACUGUCUGGAGUCAGACCAGAUUAACAUCAUUCAUAACCCACUGUCUGGAGUCAGACCAGAUUAACAUAAUUCAUAACCCACUGUCUGGAGUCAGACCAGAUUAACAUAAUUCAUAACCCACUGUCUGGAGUUAGACCAGAUUAACAUCAUUCAUAACCCACUGUCUGGAGUUAGACGAGAUUAACAUCAUUCAUAACCCACUGUCUGGAGUUAGACGAGAUUAACAUCAUUCAUAACCCACUGUCUGGAGUUAGACGAGAUUAACAUCAUUAAUAACCCACUGUCUGGAGUCAAACCAGAUUAACAUCAUUAAUAACCCACUGUCUGGAGUUAGACCAGAUUAACAUCAUUCAUAACCCACUGUCUGGAGUUAGACGAGAUUAACAUCAUUCAUAACCCACUGUCUGGAGUCAGACCAGAUUAACUUCAUUAAUAACCCACUGUCUGGAGUUAGACGAGAUUAACAUCAUUAAUAACCCACUGUCUGGAGUCAGACCAGAUUAACAUCAUUCAUAACCCACUGUCUGGAGUCAGACCAGAUUAACAUAAUUCAUAACCCACUGUCUGGAGUCAGACCAGAUUAACAUAAUUCAUAACCCACUGUCUGGAGUUAGACCAGAUUAACAUCAUUCAUAACCCACUGUCUGGAGUCAGACCAGAUUAACAUCAUUCAUAACCCACUGUCUGGAGUCAGACCAGAUUAACAUCAUUCAUAACCCACUGUCUGGAGUUAGACCAGAUUAACAUCAUUCAUAACCCACUGUCUGGAGUCAGACCAGAUUAACAUCAUUCAUAACCCACUGUCUGGAGUUAGACCAGAUUAACAUCAUUCAUAACCCACUGUCUGGAGUCAGACCAGAUUAACAUCAUUCAUAACCCACUGUCUGGAGUCAGACCAGAUUAACAUCAUUCAUAACCCACUGUCUGGAGUCAAACCAGAUUAACAUCAUUCAUAACCCACUGUCUGGAGUUAGACGAGAUUAACAUCAUUCAUAACCCACUGUCUGGAGUCAGACCAGAUUAACAUCAUUCAUAACCCACUGUCUGGAGUCAGACCAGAUUAACAUCAUUCAUAACCCACUGUCUGGAGUCAGACCAGAUUAACUUCCGUGAUAAUGAAUGCUAAAUUAGCAUGCUAUAUUGAUAUGCUAUUAUGGACCACCAUGACUGGUAACAUGAACGACCUGAAUGUUUAUUACCCCUGUCACCACUACCUUUUCUGGGAAUGACUGCAGCCUUGUAUCGUACUGUGAUGACCUGGGAUGUGUUCAUUGGGCACCAAACAGUAGAAAACUGAUUUAAAACAGGGAGGGACUACCUGCACUAGUAGUCCAAUAACAAACACUAAAAUGUAUAUUUUCCUGUUGUAAAACAUUUUUGCUAGAAUUCAGAUGGCACCAUUUGUCACGAUUGUCGUUGGGAGAAGGAGAAGAGGACCAAAGAGCAGCUUGGUAUACUGGAACAAAAACAACAGACCGACAAACGAACAGUUCUGCAAGGUGCAACAAAAACACUAAACAGAAAAUUCAAAACAUAGAAUACCCACCCCAACUCACGCCCUGACCAAACUAAAACAGAGACAUAAAAAAGGAACUAAGGUCAGGGCGUGACACCAUUCUUCCAUAGGGUUUGAAAGAAGUGCACUUUUUUAUUUUUUAUUAGUGCUAGCUUUGGAGUAGGCUAGCUCUGGAGUAGGCUAGCUUUGGAGUAGGCUAGCUUUGGAGUAGGCUAGCUUUGGAGUAGGCUAGCUCUGGAGUAGGCUAGCUCUGGAGUAGGCUAGCUCUGGAGUAGGCUAGCUUUGGAGUAGGCUAGCUUUGGAGUAGGCCAGCUUUGGAGUAGGCUAGCUUUGGAGCAGGCUAGCUUUGGAGCAGGCCAGCUUUGGAGUAGGCCAGCUUUGGAGCAGGCUAGCUUUGGAGCAGGCUAGCUUUGCUCGGUCUAUGUAGUCCCCUUAACUAUUGCUGUUGUGUGGUUUUAAUUAUGUCAAUGAUCUUUCACUUUAUGCCUCGGCACCACUGUUAUUAUGUUUUCAUUCAUGCUGUCUGUGAUAUUUUGUUGUUGUUGUUGUUGUUUCUUAUUUGUUUUGUUUAUAAUUAAACUCUUCUCUCUGUGUCCACUAAUUACAAUGAAUAAAUAAACUUACCUCGGAGUUUAAAGGUCCCAUUCAGUUUGUAUGCAGUAAAGUCAUACCAUAUUU